GACGAACGCUGGCGGCGUGCCUAAUACAUGCAAGUCGAGCGCAGGAAGCUGACGGAACUCUUCGGAGGGAAGGCAGUGGAAUGAGCGGCGGACGGGUGAGUAACACGUAAGGAACCUGCCUCAAGGAUUGGGAUAACUCCGAGAAAUCGGAGCUAAUACCGGAUAGUUCAUCGGACCGCAUGGUCCGUUGAUGAAAGGCGCUUCGGCGUCACCUUGAGAUGGCCUUGCGGUGCAUUAGCUAGUUGGUGGGGUAACGGCCCACCAAGGCGACGAUGCAUAGCCGACCUGAGAGGGUGAUCGGCCACACUGGGACUGAGACACGGCCCAGACUCCUACGGGAGGCAGCAGUAGGGAAUCUUCCACAAUGGACGAAAGUCUGAUGGAGCAACGCCGCGUGAGUGAUGAAGGUUUUCGGAUCGUAAAACUCUGUUGUAAGGGAAGAACACGUACGAGAGGGAAUGCUCGUACCUUGACGGUACCUUACGAGAAAGCCACGGCUAACUACGUGCCAGCCGCCGCGGUAA
RNAcentral lists this ribosomal RNA (524 nucleotides) under uncultured bacterium. RNAcentral's name for it is "partial 16S ribosomal RNA". It matches the Rfam family "Bacterial small subunit ribosomal RNA", at positions 28 to 523 of the family's 1533-position model. The record is from RNAcentral.